GCAGGUGGCAAGCGUUGUCCGGAAUUAUUGGGGCGUAAAGCGCGCGCAGGCGGUUCUUUAAGUCUGAUGUGAAAGCCCACGGGCUCAACCGUGGAGGGUCAUUGGAAACUGGAGAACUUGAGUACAGAAGAGGAAAGCGGAAUUCCACGUGUAGCAGUGAAAUGCGUAGAGAUGUGGAGGAACACCAGUGGCGAAGGCGGCUUUCUGGUCUGUAACUGACGCUGAGGCGCGAAAGCGUGGGGAGCAAACAGGAUUAGAUACCCUGGUAGUCCACGCCGUAAACGAUGAGUGCUAAGUGUUAGGGGGUUUCCGCCCCUUAGUGCUGCAGCUAACGCAUUAAGCACUCCGCCUGGGGAGUACGGCCGCAAGGCUG
Molecule: ribosomal RNA, 373 nt
Filed under: uncultured organism
Description: partial 16S ribosomal RNA
Rfam family: Bacterial small subunit ribosomal RNA
Source: RNAcentral